UGCAGCGACGCCGCGUGGAUGAAGAAGGCCCUCGGGUUGUAAAAUCCUUUACAGGGGGAAGAGGAAGGACGGUACCCCUGGAACAAGUGUCGGCUAACUACGUGCCAGCAGCCGCGGUAAGACGUAGGACACAAGCGUUAUCCGGAUUUACUGGGCGUAAAGCGUCUGCAGGCGGACAGGUAAGUUGGGCGUGAAAGCUCCGGGCCCAACCCGGAGAGGUCGUUCAAUACUGCGUGUCUAGAGGGUGUCAGAGGGGAGUGGAAUUUCCGGAGUAGCGGUAAAAUGCGCAGAGAUCGGAAAGAACACCAAUGGCGAAGGCAGCUCCCUGGGGCAACCCUGACGCUAAGAGACGAAAGCUAGGGGAGCGAACAGGAUUAGAGACCCUGGUAGUCCUAGCCCUAAACGAUGGAUGCUGGAUGUGGGGCCAUAGCGCUCCGUGUCGAAGCGAACGCGUUAAGCAUCCCGCCUGGGGACUACGGCCCGCAAGGUUAAAACUCAAACGAAUUGACGGGACCCCGCACAAGCAGCGGAGCGUGUGGUUUAAUUCGAUGCUACACGAAGAACCUUACCUGGGUUUGACAUCUAGGUGGUAGUGAAGCGAAAGCGGAGCGACCCUUCGGGGAGCCUAGACAGGUGYUGCAUGGCUGUCGUCAGCUCGUGCCGUGAGGUGUCGGGUUAAGUCCCGUAACGAGCGCAACCCUUGCCCUCCGUUAUACGUGUCAGAGGGGACUGCCGGCGGUAAGCCGGAGGAAGGUGGGGAUGACGUCAAGUCAGCAUGGCCUUUAUAUCCAGGGCUACACACACGYUACAAUGGCCAGUACAAAGGGCAGUGAAGCCGCGAGGUGAAGCUGAAUCCC
Molecule: ribosomal RNA, 857 nt
Filed under: uncultured Chloroflexales bacterium
Lineage: Bacteria; Bacillati; Chloroflexota; Chloroflexia; Chloroflexales
Description: bacterial SSU rRNA
Rfam family: Bacterial small subunit ribosomal RNA
Source: RNAcentral